This is a long non-coding RNA of Gallus gallus (chicken), 1678 nucleotides long. The record is from Ensembl. NCBI's taxonomy places the organism in Eukaryota, Metazoa, Chordata, Aves, Galliformes, Phasianidae.
GGGGGAUGGGGGAGGAACGGCCCUAAUAGUCCCAUAGGGCACACAGGGGGGCCUGGAGGGCACUUGGGGGUCCAAGGGGGCAGUUGGGGGUCCAAGGAGUCACUUGGGGGUCCCAGGGGGCAUUUGGGGGUCCCGGAGGGCAUUUGGGGGUCUCAGAGGGCACUUGGGGGUCUCAGAGGGUACUUGGGGGUCCAAGGGGGCACUUGGGGGUCUCAUAGGGCAUUUGGGGGUCCCAGGGGGCACUUGGGGGUCCCAAGGGGCACUUGGGGGUCCAAGGGGUCACUUGGGGGGCCCAGGAGGCACUUGGGGGUCCCAGAGGGCACUUGGGGGUCUCAGAGGGCACUUGGGGGUCGCAAAGGGUACACAGGGGGUCCUGUAGGGCAGUUGGGGGUCUCAGAGGGCACUUAGGGGGUCUCAGAGGGUACACAGGGGAUCCCAGGGGGCACUUGGGGGUCCAAGGGGGUACUUGGGGGUCCAAGGGGUCACUUGGGGGUCCCAGGGGGCACUUGGGGGUCCCGGAGGGGACCUGGGGGUCUCAGAUGGCACUUGGGGGUCCCAGAGGGCAGUUGGGUUUCCCAGAGGGCACUUAGGGGUCCAAGGGGGCACCUGGGGGUCCCAGAGGGCAUUUGGGGGUCCCAGAGGGGAUUUGGGGGUCCCGGUGGACACACAGGGGGUUUCAGAGGGCACUUUGGGGUCUCAGAGGGCACUUGGGGGUCGCAAAGGGUACACAGGGGGUCCUGUAGGGCAGUUGGGGGUCUCAGUGGGCAGUUGGGGGUCCCAGGGGGCACAUAGGGGUCCUGGACGGCACUUUGGGGUCCCAUGGGGCACUUGGGGGUCUCAGAGGGCACUUGGGGGUCCCAGGGGGCAGUUGGGGGUCCAAGGGGUCACUUGGGGGGCCCAGGGGGCACUUGGGAUCCCGGAGGGCACUUUGGGGUCUCAGAGGGCAUUUGGGGGUCCCAGGGGGCACUUGGGGGUCCUGGAGGGCACUUGGGGGUCCCAUGGGGCACUUGGGGGUCGCAAAGGGUACACAGGGGGUCUCAGAUGGCACUUAGGGGCUCCAAGGGUGCACUUGGGGGUCUCAGUGGGCACCUGUGGGUCCAAGGGGGCAACUGGGGGGCCCAAAGGGUACACAGGGGGUCCUGGAGGGCAUUUGGGGGUCCCAGAGGGCACAUAGGGGUCUCAGAUGGCACUUGGGGGUCUCAGAGGGCAGUUGGGGGUCUCAGAGGGCACUUGGGGGUCCCAGAGGGCAUUUGGGGGUCCCAGGGGGCACUUGGGGGUCCCAGGGGGCACUUGGGGGUCUCAGAGGGCAGUUGGGGGUCCCAGAGUGCACUUGAGGGUCCUGGAAGGCACUUUGGGGUCUCAGAGGGCACUUGGGGGUCCAUGGGGGCACUUGGGGGUCUCAGAGGGCACUUGGGGGUCCAUGGGGGCACUUGGGGGUCUCAGAGGGCAUUUGGGGGUCCCAGGGGGCACUUGGGGGUCCUGGAGGGCACUUGGGGGUCCCGUGGGGCACUUGGGGGUCACAAAGGGUACACAGGGGGUCUCAGAUGGCACUUAGGGGCUCCAAGGGUGCACUUGGGGGUCUCAGUGGGCACCUGUGGGUCCAAGGGGGCAAAUGGGGGGCCCAAAGGGUACACAGGGGGUCCUGGAGGGCAUUUGGGGGUCCUGGAGGGCACUUGGG